AUAUAAUUUAUUAAAAAAAAUAUUUUUAAUAUAUUUUUUUUUGUAUUAUUAAAAGAUAAAAUAAUUAUAAUAAUAGUUUAUUAGUAUUGUAAAAGAAUAUUUAAAAUAUUUAAAAAGUAGAUUUAAUUAAUUGUACCUUGGGUAUCAGGGUUUAUUAAUAUAAGAAUAUAUUUAUUAUUUUUCUCGAAUUUAAAAGGGUAAAUAUAUUAUUUAAUAUACUGUAUUAUAAUUAUUUAUAAUAAUAUAUUAGUAAUGAAAUGUUAUUCGUUUUUAAAGAUAUCUAGUUUUUUUAGAAAUAAAUUUAAUUUAGAAAAUUUUAAUAUUUAUUUUAAUUGUUAAAUUAAGUAUUUAAAAUUUUUGAUAUUUUUAGGGAUAAGCUUAAAAAUAAUUGUUAUAAUUUGUUUAUAUAGUUAAUAGAUUUAUAGGGUUAGAAAUAUUCAUUAAUUUAAAAAUGUUAUAAUUUAUUUAUUAAUAAAAAGUAUUUUAAAAGAUUUGAAUUUUUAUAAAAAAAAUUAUUUUAAUAAAUAAAAUAAUGUUAUAAUGAUAAAAUUAGUAUAAUAAUUUAUAUAAAUAAAGUGGUAAUUGGUUGAUUAUUAUAAGGAAUUCGGCAAAUAUAAUAUUCACCUGUUUAACAAAAACAUGUCUUUUUGAUUAUAAUAAAAAGUCUAAUCUGCCCAUUGAAUUUUUUAAAAGGCCGCGGUAUUUUGACUGUGCAAAGGUAGCAUAAUCAAUAGUUUCUUAAUUAGAAGCUGGAAUGAAUGAUUGAAUGAAAUAUUAACUGUCUUAUUUUAAUAAAAGUAGAAUUUAAUUUUUAAAUUAAAAAGUUUAAAUAAUUUUGAAGGACGAGAAGACCCUUUAAAGCUUUAUAUUAAAAUUUAUAUAAUUUAAAAAUAAAAUUAUAUUUAUGUAAACUUAAAUAUUUUAUUGGGGUGAUAGGAAAAUUUAUAUAACUUUUUAUAUAAUAAAACAUUAAUUAAUGAUUUAUUGAUCCAUAAAUUAUGAUUAGAAGAUUAAGUUACUUAAGGGAUAACAGCGUAAUAUUUUUUGAGAGAACUUAUCGAUAAAAAAGUUUGCGACCUCGAUGUUGGAUUAAGAUAAAUUUUAGGUGUAGCAGUUUAAAGGUUAGGUCUGUUCGACCAUUUAUUCUUACAUGAUCUGAGUUCAGACCGGUGUGAGCCAGGUUGGUUUCUAUCCUCAGGAUUUUAUAAUUAAUUAGUACGAAAGGACCAUUAAUUAGUAAUAUUUAUAUUAUAAAGAAUAAAAUUA
This 1266-nucleotide ribosomal RNA is filed under the name Stenischia humilis. RNAcentral describes it as "16S ribosomal RNA". The stretch from base 1026 to 1183 matches the Rfam family "Archaeal large subunit ribosomal RNA", at positions 2542 to 2701 of the family's 2987-position model. The record is from RNAcentral. Lineage: Eukaryota; Metazoa; Arthropoda; Insecta; Siphonaptera; Hystrichopsyllidae.